Molecule: unclassified non-coding RNA, 232 nt
Filed under: uncultured fungus
Lineage: Eukaryota; Fungi
Description: sequence contains ITS1
Source: RNAcentral
GUAUUGUAUUGCGUUAAACGCGGUGCACAUUCCACAAGACUUUGUUACGGUGUGUGUGUAAAGACGCAGAACCACGGCAAGGGGACAGAGUCGCCCAGGCCACAGAACUACAGAGGGUGCACAGGUGUGAGUGGAUGUGUAGACAGAGCGUGCACAUGCCCCCAUCUGAGGACCAGCAACAACUCGUGUCGACAAUUCGGUAAUGAUCCUUCCGCAGGUUCACCUACGGAAA